CUCAAUUUUAUCUGAUUUUAGAAGGUAAGUAGAACCAGGUUUGGUUAGUUCUUGGAUGGGAGACCACUAAGGAAUGCCAGGAAUCUCUGAGC
This 92-nucleotide ribosomal RNA is filed under the name Pogona vitticeps (central bearded dragon). Lineage: Eukaryota; Metazoa; Chordata; Lepidosauria; Squamata; Agamidae. The record is from RNAcentral.